Microcebus murinus (gray mouse lemur) is the source of this 1023-nucleotide non-coding RNA. Lineage: Eukaryota; Metazoa; Chordata; Mammalia; Primates; Cheirogaleidae. The record is from RefSeq and is a predicted model, not a curated record.
UGCUCCUCUUUCACAGGAAUCAGCUGAGGAGUCCCUUGUUGAGGCAGCAGAAGUCACGGCAGAGUCUUAGGUUUGAGGCAGGCAAGACAGUUUCUAAAUUUGGAAUGGAUUAAUUCAAAAAAGCGAAAACUGCUUGUCUCCAUAGAGAAGUUGCUGCAGUUGAAAGUUGUUACUCGCUUCUUAUUCACUCAACUAAAUUGCAGAUGAUUGGAUUGGAGAAACUUCCAGAUGACUGUACAACAGACUCAUGGCAGCCUGAGUCUAAAAUGUUGAUGUCAUGUAAAUCAUAGAAGAAGGAAAACUUGUGUUCUCAUUUACCUUCCAAUUCAAAGACAUUGAUAAGGGUUCUGAAAAACAAUGUCGGCUACUGUAGUGUUGGUGGCCUUUCCCUGCAUUGCAGCUUUUCAUAGAAGCCUCAGUUGAAGUUGUCGCAGAUCAAACAAACUAAAUGAAUUAGCUUUUCUUUCUCACAGAGUGAGAGGUCUUUAUCUUCCAUAGAAAAUUCAGUUAGUAACAACCAGAAUGGAAAGUUCUGCAGCUUUACUGUUCCCAUACCCUUUUUUUCUGGUUGAGUAGAUCAUGAUUGUGACCAUUUGUCUGGUUUCACUUUGGUCCAGGUCUUUUGUGAAUUGUGCUGCACUGUUUUCUACAAAUACUGACUUUUCUGCAGCUAGGGAUAGAAAUAGUGGCUACAAGGAAGGGAUGGGAAGUAGACAAGGUCAGGGUGAGGGGAUGAUAUUGACUAUAGAAACGUAAAAAAAUCACUAGAGAAGGGCAAUGAAGAUUAAUAGAGGAAUGCUUUGCAAUUAAGCAAUCAUUUUUCCCCUUUUAUUCUGCUGUCAAAUAGUUAUUGUUAUCAUGUACCUUUAAACAUUUGUAUGUUUUGAUAAGUAGGCAGGAAAGGAUGCACUAACAAUUAUAUAGUAAUCUUGGACAAGGUAAAAGAUGUCUGUUAACUUGUACUUAAUGAAUUCUGAGUCAUUUUGUCUGUGUGACAAAAAUCAAAGACAAAAAUUUGGACCU